GCCCCUAUAGCUCAGCUGGUAGAGCGGCGGUCUUGUAAACCGUAGGUCCCGUGUUCGAAUCAUGGUGGGGGCACCA
Molecule: transfer RNA, 76 nt
Filed under: Acidobacteriota bacterium
Lineage: Bacteria; Pseudomonadati; Acidobacteriota
Description: Acidobacteria bacterium tRNA-Thr
Rfam family: tRNA
About the family: Transfer RNA (tRNA) molecules are approximately 80 nucleotides in length. Their secondary structure includes four short double-helical elements and three loops (D, anti-codon, and T loops). Further hydrogen bonds mediate the characteristic L-shaped molecular structure. tRNAs have two regions of fundamental functional importance: the anti-codon, which is responsible for specific mRNA codon recognition, and the 3' end, to which the tRNAs corresponding amino acid is attached (by aminoacyl-tRNA synthetases). tRNAs cope with the degeneracy of the genetic code in two manners: having more than one tRNA (with a specific anti-codon) for a particular amino acid; and 'wobble' base-pairing, i.e. permitting non-standard base-pairing at the 3rd anti-codon position.
Source: RNAcentral